CCUCCGCCAUCCUCUAUUACACAGACCCCAUCACGUGAUCCUGUCAGCUGACAUUACCCUCACGUCACACCUUCCACAAAAAAAAGGCAGAAGCUGGGAAAUAGUAGAGAACACGGAUCGGAAUGCCUCGCGGGCCCUCUUCGAUUCUUUCCGGCGGCGCUCUUCGGCUGUUCCCGGGUGCGCUCUUCGGCUAUUUCCGGUACCGCUCUUCGGUUGUUCCCGGAGCCCUUUCUGAACAGUGUGCCACAGUCUUUGAAAGUGGGAGUACGACAGCACAACUGCAACUUACGUACAUAGUUACAACUGUUUGUGAUUUCUGGCAGCUGGAUGAAGAUGGCUAGAGCGUGGUUGCAGUUUAGACAAUGAAGCUGUAAAUACAAGCAGCCUCUUCAAACUUAGGCUGUGUAAUUGGAUCUUUGCUUGGUUUUCCCUAAUUGAUGGGGCUUUAACUAAUAUUAGCAAAAAUUGCCUUGUGGCUGAAUUAAAUGUAUAGUAUAAACUAAAUUCACGGUGAUUCUUGGUUCAUCUUUUGCUUUCCAGAACUGAUGCUGAUAAAUAGUUGAACUGUUUUUUCCCAGUCCCAUGUAAAAACAACCAGCAUUUACAGUAUUUUACUACAUUAAAAUUCAUAAAUGA
Xenopus laevis (African clawed frog) is the source of this 636-nucleotide long non-coding RNA. RefSeq lists it as uncharacterized. The transcript has 2 exons. The record is from RefSeq and is a predicted model, not a curated record. Lineage: Eukaryota; Metazoa; Chordata; Amphibia; Anura; Pipidae.